Nyctereutes procyonoides (raccoon dog) is the source of this 529-nucleotide long non-coding RNA. RefSeq lists it as uncharacterized. The record is from RefSeq and is a predicted model, not a curated record. NCBI's taxonomy places the organism in Eukaryota, Metazoa, Chordata, Mammalia, Carnivora, Canidae. The transcript is spliced from 3 exons.
CCCGGGGGCCCCGCGGAGCCGCAGGUGAGCCCCGCGGUCCCGGGCGCCGCCGGGGGAGGCUGCUGGGUCGCAGACAGCCGGCUUCGGACCGCAUCCCUAAACCUGGGGGAAGUGAAGACCGUACACCGUGGGGUCCGGAUCCCGGGCUGGCCUGCUGCCCGGUCACUACCGUGUGGCCCCCAGCAGGUUGCUUCAACUUUCUGAGCAUCGGUUCCUCAUCUAACCGGAGGCGAGCGGCUGAGUGAGGAGAUGGAGGGUGAGAGGAAGAGAGAGAAGGAGAGAAUUCCAAGCAGACUCCCCACGGAACGCAGAGGCAGACAGGGGCUCCAUGUCACCACCCUGAGAUCAUGACCUGAGCUGAAAUCAAGAGUCAGAUGCUUAACGGAGUCACCCAGGCACCCUGGACUCCUGGGUGGCUCAGCGGUUGAGCACCUGCCUUCAGCUCAGGGUGUGAUCCUGGAGACCCGGGAUCGAGUCCCACGUUGUGCUCCCUGCAUGGAGCCUGCUUCUCCCUCAGCCUGUGUCUCUG